UGUUUUUGUAGUUGAUAUA
RNAcentral lists this transfer RNA (19 nucleotides) under Trimeresurus sp. Lee2017. RNAcentral describes it as "partial tRNA-Glu". Lineage: Eukaryota; Metazoa; Chordata; Lepidosauria; Squamata; Viperidae. The record is from RNAcentral.